ACAACUUUCAACAACGGAUCUCUUGGUUCUGGCAUCGAUGAAGAACGCAGCGAAAUGCGAUAAGUAGUGUGAAUUGCAGAAUUCAGUGAAUCAUCGAAUCUUUGAACGCACAUUGCGCCCGCCAGUAUUCUGGCGGGCAUGCCUGUUCGAGCGUCAUUUCAACCCUCAAGCACAGCUUGGUGUUGGGACUCGCGUUAAUUCGCGUUCCCCAAAUUGAUUGGCGGUCACGUCGAGCUUCCAUAGCGUAGUAGUAAAACCCUCGUUACUGGUAAUCGUCGCGGCCACGCCGUUAAACCCCAACUUCUGAAUGUUGACCUCGGAUCAGGUAGGAAUACCCGCUGAACUUAAGCAUAUCAAUAAGCGGAGGAAAAGAAACCAACAGGGAUUGCCCUAGUAACGGCGAGUGAAGCGGCAACAGCUCAAAUUUGAAAUCUGGCUCUCGGGCCCGAGUUGUAAUUUGUAGAGGAUACUUUUGAUGCGGUGCCUUCCGAGUUCCCUGGAGCGGGACGCCAUAGAGGGUGAGAGCCCCGUCUGGUUGGAUGCCAAAUCUCUGUAAAGUUCCUUCAACGAGUCGAGUAGUUUGGGAAUGCUGCUCUAAAUGGGAGGUAUAUGUCUUCUAAAGCUAAAUACCGGCCAGAGACCGAUAGCGCACAAGUAGAGUGAUCGAAAGAUGAAAAGCACUUUGAAAAGAGAGUUAAAAAGUACGUGAAAUUGUUGAAAGGGAAGCGUUUAUGACCAGACUUGGGCUUGGUUAAUCAUCUGGGGUUCUCCCCAGUGCACUUUUCCAGUCCAGGCCAGCAUCAGUUUUCCCCGGGGGAUAAAGGCGGCGGGAAUGUGGCUCUCUUCGGGGAGUGUUAUAGCCCACCGUGUAAUACCCUGGGGGGGACUGAGGUUCGCGCAUCUGCAAGGAUGCUGGCGUAAUGGUCAUCAACGACCCGUCUUGAAACACGGACC
This 954-nucleotide ribosomal RNA is filed under the name uncultured Hypocreales. RNAcentral describes it as "eukaryotic LSU rRNA". The stretch from base 312 to 954 matches the Rfam family "Eukaryotic large subunit ribosomal RNA", at positions 1 to 667 of the family's 3401-position model. The record is from RNAcentral. Lineage: Eukaryota; Fungi; Ascomycota; Sordariomycetes; Hypocreales.